UUAGAGUUUGAUCCUGGCUCAGGACGAACCCUUGCGGCGUGCCUAACACAUGCAAGUCGAGCGAAUGAAAUUCCUUCGGGAACGGAUUUAGCGGCGGACGGGUGAGUAACACGUGGGCAACCUGCCUCAUAGAGGGGAAUAGCCUUCCGAAAGGGAGAUUAAUACCGCAUAAGAUUGUAGUACCGCAUGGUACAGCAAUUAAAGGAGCAAUCCGCUAUGAGAUGGGCCCGCGGCGCAUUAGCUAGUUGGUGAGGUAACGGCUCACCAAGGCGACGAUGCGUAGCCGACCUGAGAGGGUGAUCGGCCACAUUGGGACUGAGACACGGCCCAGACUCCUACGGGAGGCAGCAGUGGGGAAUAUUGCACAAUGGGGGAAACCCUGAUGCAGCAACGCCGCGUGAGUGAUGACGGCCUUCGGGUUGUAAAGCUCUGUCUUCAGGGACGAAAAUGACGGUACCUCCAGAACAAGCCACGGCUAACUACGUGCCAGCAGCCGCGGUAAUACGUAGGUGGCAAGCGUUAUCCGGAUUUACUGGGUGUAAAGGGCGCGCAGGCGGCCCCAAAAGUCAGAUGUGAAAGAUCAAGGCUUAACUUUGACAUGUCAUCUGAAACUUUGGGACUUGAGUAUCAGAGGGGAAAGCGGAAUUCCUGGUGGAGCGGUAAAAUGCGCAGAGAUCAGGAGGAACACCGGUGGCGAAGGCGGCUUUCUGGCUGACAACUGACGCUGAGGCGCGAAAGCGUGGGGAGCAAACAGAAGGAGAUACCCUGGUAGUCCACGCCGUAAACGAUGAUUACUGGGUGUAGGGGGUAUCGACUCCCUCUGUGCCGAAGCUAACGCGAUAAGUAAUCCACCUGGGGAGUACGGCCGCAAGGCUAAAACUCAAAGGAAUUGACGGGGGCCCGCACAAGCAGUGGAGUAUGUGGUUUAAUUCGAGGCAACGCGAAGAACCUUACCAGGGUUUGACAUCCCGCGCUCGGGGUAGAGAUACCCUUUUCCCUUCGGGGACGCGGAGACAGGUGGUGCAUGGUUGUCGUCAGCUCGUGUCGUGAGAUGUUCGGUUAAGUGCCAUAACGAGCGCAACCCUCAUCAUUAGUUACCAUCAGGUUAAGCUGGGGACUCUAAUGAGACUGCCAUCGUAAGAUGCGAGGAAGGUGGGGAUGACGUCAAAUCAGCACGGCCCUUACGUCCGGGGCGACACACGUGUUACAAUGGGUGGUACAAAGGGCAGCUACAUGGCGACAUGAUGCUAAUCUCCAAAACCACUCUCAGUUCGGAUCGGAGUCUGCAACUCGACUUCGUGAAGCUGGAUUCGCUAGUAAUCGCGCAUCAGCCACGGCGCGGUGAAUACGUUCCCGGGCCUUGUACACGCCGCCCGUCA
RNAcentral lists this ribosomal RNA (1379 nucleotides) under uncultured bacterium. RNAcentral's name for it is "16S ribosomal RNA". It matches the Rfam family "Bacterial small subunit ribosomal RNA". The record is from RNAcentral.